UUUUGGGAUAAAGUCUCAUGGUCGAGAGGGAAACAGCCCAGAGCAUCGACUAAGGCCCCUAAGCGUACGCUAAGUGGGAAAGGAUGUGGAGUCGCAGAGACAACCAGGAGGUUGGCUUAGAAGCAGCCACCCUUGAAAGAGUGCGUAAUAGCUCACUGGUCUAGUGAUUCCGCGCCGACAAUGUAGCGGGGCUCAAGCGUACCGCCGAAGUCGUGUCAUUGCAGCAAUACGCCCAACGGCGGCUGUGAUGGGUAGGGGAGCGUCGUGUGCCGGGUGAAGCCGCGCCGGAAGGCAGUGGUGGACGGUUCACGAGUGAGAAUGCAGGCAUGAGUAGCGAUACACACGUGAGAAACGUGUGCGCCGAUUGACUAAGGGUUCCUGGGUCAAGCUGAUCUGCCCAGGGUAAGUCGGGACCUAAGGCGAGGCCGACAGGCGUAGUCGAUGGAUAACCGGUUGAUAUUCCGGUACCCGCUGUGAAGCGUCAAACAUUGAACCAGGCGAUGCUAAGUCCGUGAAGCCGCCCCGGAGCCUUCGGGCAAAGGGGAGUGGUGGAGCCGACGGACCAGACCUGCAGUAGGUGAGUGAUGGGGUGACGCAGGAAGGUAGUCCAUCCCGGGCGGUGGUUGUCCCGGGGUAAGGGUGUAGGCCGUGUGAUAGGUAAAUCCGUCRCACAUUAAGGCUGAGACCUGAUGCCGAGCCGAUUGUGGUGAAGUGGAUGAUCCUAUGCUGUCGAGAAAAGCCUCUAGCGAGUUUCAUGGCGGCCCGUACCCUAAACCGACUCAGGUGGUCAGGUAGAGAAUACCGAGGCGUUCGGGUGAACUAUGGUUAAGGAACUCGGCAAAAUGCCCCCGUAACUUCGGGAGAAGGGGGGCCAUCACCGGUGAGAGGAUUUACUCCUUGAGCUGGGGGUGGCCGCAGAGACCAGCGAGAAGCGACUGUUUACUAAAAACACAGGUCCGUGCGAAGCCGUAAGGCGAUGUAUACGGACUGACGCCUGCCCGGUGCUGGAACGUUAAGGGGACCGGUUAGUCACUCUUCGGGGUGG
Molecule: ribosomal RNA, 1045 nt
Filed under: Streptomyces mirabilis
Lineage: Bacteria; Bacillati; Actinomycetota; Actinomycetes; Kitasatosporales; Streptomycetaceae
Description: partial 23S ribosomal RNA
Source: RNAcentral